ACGCUCGACACCUACGGGAGGCGGCAGUAGGGAAUCUUCCACAAUGGGCGCAAGCCUGAUGGAGCAACACCGCGUGAGUGAAGAAGGGUUUCGGCUCGUAAAGCUCUGUUGUUGGAGAAGAACGUGCGUGAGAGUAACUGUUCACGCAGUGACGGUAUCCAACCAGAAAGUCACGGCUAACUACGUGUCAGCUGCCGCGGUAAUCUGAGCGGGCUGGCAAGGC
This 223-nucleotide ribosomal RNA is filed under the name uncultured bacterium. RNAcentral describes it as "partial 16S ribosomal RNA". It matches the Rfam family "Bacterial small subunit ribosomal RNA", at positions 328 to 539 of the family's 1533-position model. The record is from RNAcentral.